This 473-nucleotide ribosomal RNA is filed under the name uncultured bacterium. RNAcentral describes it as "bacterial SSU rRNA". It matches the Rfam family "Bacterial small subunit ribosomal RNA", at positions 8 to 478 of the family's 1533-position model. The record is from RNAcentral.
AGAGUUUGAUCAUGGCUCAGAUUGAACGCUGGCGGCAGGCUUAACACAUGCAAGUCGAGCGGAAACGAUGAUAGCUUGCUAUCAGGCGUCGAGCGGCGGACGGGUGAGUAACGCGUAGGAAUCUACCUAGUAGUGGGGGAUAGCCCAGAGAAAUUUGGAUUAAUACCGCAUACGCCCUACGGGGGAAAGGAGGGGAUCUUCGGACCUUUCGCUAUUAGAUGAGCCUGCGUCGGAUUAGCUAGUUGGUGGGGUAAAGGCCUACCAAGGCGACGAUCCGUAGCUGGUCUGAGAGGAUGAUCAGCCACACUGGGACUGAGACACGGCCCAGACUCCUACGGGAGGCAGCAGUGGGGAAUAUUGGACAAUGGGGGCAACCCUGAUCCAGCCAUGCCGCGUGUGUGAAGAAGGCCUUCGGGUUGUAAAGCACUUUCAGCGAGGAGGAAAGGGUGUAGCUUAAUACGCUGCAUCGGGAC